Molecule: ribosomal RNA, 453 nt
Filed under: uncultured Acholeplasma sp.
Lineage: Bacteria; Bacillati; Mycoplasmatota; Mollicutes; Acholeplasmatales; Acholeplasmataceae
Description: bacterial SSU rRNA
Rfam family: Bacterial small subunit ribosomal RNA
Source: RNAcentral
ACAAGCGGUGGAUCUAUGUUGUUUAAUUCGACGAUACGCGAAGAACCUUACCAGGUCUUGACAUCCCCUGCAAAGCUAUGGAGACAUAGUGGAGGUUAUCAGGGAGGACAGGUGGUGCAUGGUUGUCGUCAGCUCGUGUCGUGAGAUGUUGGGUUAAGUCCCGCAACGAGCGCAACCCUUAUUGCUAGUUACCAUCAUUGAGUUGGGGACUCUAGCGAGACUGCCAGUGAUAAACUGGAGGAAGGUGGGAUGACGUCAAAUCAUCAUGCCCCUUAUGACCUGGGCUACAAACGUGAUACAAUGGCUGAAACAAAGGGCAGCGAAGGAGUGAUGUGGAGCGAAACCCAAAAAAGCAGUCUCAGUUCGGAUUGAAGUCUGCAACUCGACUUCAUGAAGUCGGAAUCGCUAGUAAUCGCGGAUCAGAACGCCGCGGUGAAUACGUUCUCGGGGUUU